RNAcentral lists this ribosomal RNA (433 nucleotides) under uncultured bacterium. RNAcentral describes it as "partial 16S ribosomal RNA". It matches the Rfam family "Bacterial small subunit ribosomal RNA", at positions 29 to 507 of the family's 1533-position model. The record is from RNAcentral.
AACGAACGCUGGCGGCAUGCCUAACACAUGCAAGUCGAACGAAGGCUUCGGCCUUAGUGGCGCACGGGUGCGUAACGCGUGGGAAUCUGCCCUUUGGUUCGGAAUAACAGCUGGAAACGGCUGCUAAUACCGGAUGAUGACGAAAGUCCAAAGAUUUAUCGCCAGAGGAUGAGCCCGCGUUGGAUUAGGUAGUUGGUGGGGUAAAGGCCUGCCAAGCCGACGAUCCAUAGCUGGUCUGAGAGGAUGAUCAGCCACACUGGGACUGAGACACGGCCCAGACUCCUACGGGAGGCAGCAGUGGGGAAUAUUGGACAAUGGGCGCAAGCCUGAUCCAGCAAUGCCGCGUGAGUGAUGAAGGCCCUAGGGUUGUAAAGCUCUUUUACCCGGGAAGAUAAUGACUGUACCGGGAGAAUAAGCCCCGGCUAACUCCGUG